Molecule: unclassified non-coding RNA, 381 nt
Filed under: uncultured Gammaproteobacteria bacterium
Lineage: Bacteria; Pseudomonadati; Pseudomonadota; Gammaproteobacteria
Description: contains 16S-23S intergenic spacer region
Source: RNAcentral
UCGCGUCUUGCGACGGCAGUUUCACUAGAGUUCCCAGCAUUACCUGAUGGCAACUAGUGAUGGGGGUUGAGCUCGUUGCGGGACUUAACCCAACAUCUCACGACACGAGCUAACGACAGCCAUGCAGCACCUGUGUUCAGGUUCCCUUUCGGGCACCUCUGCAUUUCUGCAGAGUUCCUGACAUGUCAAGGGUAGGUAAGGUUUUUCGCGUUGCAUCGAAUUAAUCCACAUAAUCCACCGCUUGUGCGGGUCCCCGUCAAUUCCUUUGAGUUUCAGUCUUGCGACCGUACUCCCCAGGCGGCGAACUUAACGCGUUAGCUUCGAUACUGCGUGCCAAAUUGCACCCAACAUCCAGUUCGCAUCGUUUAGGGCGUGGACUAC